AUUGAACGCUGGCGGCAGGCUUAACACAUGCAAGUCGAGCGGGGUGAUGGUGCUUGCACUAUCACUUAGCGGCGGACGGGUGAGUAAUGCUUAGGAAUCUGCCUAUUAGUGGGGGACAACAUCUCGAAAGGGAUGCUAAUACCGCAUACGUCCUACGGGAGAAAGCAGGGGAUCACUUGUGACCUUGCGCUAAUAGAUGAGCCUAAGUCGGAUUAGCUAGUUGGUGGGGUAAAGGCCUACCAAGGCGACGAUCUGUAGCGGGUCUGAGAGGAUGAUCCGCCACACUGGGACUGAGACACGGCCCAGACUCCUACGGGAGGCAGCAGUGGGGAAUAUUGGACAAUGGGGGGAACCCUGAUCCAGCCAUGCCGCGUGUGUGAAGAAGGCCUUAUGGUUGUAAAGCACUCUAAGCGAGGAGGAGGCUCUUUUGGUUAAUACCAAAGAUGAGUGGACGUUACUCGCAGAAUAAGCACCGGCUAACUCUGUGCCAGCCGCCGCAGUAA
This 503-nucleotide ribosomal RNA is filed under the name uncultured bacterium. Its description in RNAcentral is "partial 16S ribosomal RNA". It matches the Rfam family "Bacterial small subunit ribosomal RNA", at positions 30 to 523 of the family's 1533-position model. The record is from RNAcentral.